CCUACGGGAGGCAGCAGUGAGGAAUAUUGGUCAAUGGAGGCAACUCUGAACCAGCCAUGCCGCGUGAAGGAUGACGGCCCUAUGGGUUGUAAACUUCUUUUAUAGAGGAAGAAACUUGUCUACGUGUAGACAACUGACGGUACUCUACGAAUAAGGAUCGGCUAACUCCGUGCCAGCAGCCGCGGUAAUACGGAGGAUCCAAGCGUUAUCCGGAUUCAUUGGGUUUAAAGGGUCCGUAGGCGGGUCUUUAAGUCAGUGGUGAAAGCCGACAGCUCAACUGUCGAACUGCCAUUGAUACUGGAGACCUUGAGUACAAAUGAAGUAGGCGGAAUGAGUCAUGUAGCGGUGAAAUGCAUAGAUAUGACUCAGAACACCGAUUGCGAAGGCAGCUUACUAACAUGUAACUGACGCUGAGGGACGAAAGCGUGGGGAGCGAACAGGAUUAGAUACCCUGGUAGUCCACGCCGUAAACGAUCAUCACUCGCUGUUGGCGAUAUACUGUCAGCGGCCAAGCGAAAGUAUUAAGUGAUGCACCUGGGGAGUACGCCGGCAACGGUGAAACUUAAAGGAAUUGACGGA
RNAcentral lists this ribosomal RNA (579 nucleotides) under uncultured bacterium. RNAcentral describes it as "bacterial SSU rRNA". It matches the Rfam family "Bacterial small subunit ribosomal RNA", at positions 338 to 917 of the family's 1533-position model. The record is from RNAcentral.